Molecule: long non-coding RNA, 1475 nt
Filed under: Chlamydomonas reinhardtii
Lineage: Eukaryota; Viridiplantae; Chlorophyta; Chlorophyceae; Chlamydomonadales; Chlamydomonadaceae
Description: long non-coding RNA (CREI_LNC000664)
Source: RNAcentral
ACGCAAGCAGCUGCCCCCAACUGCACGCUUCCCACCCGCAUGCAUGCACGCACACGUGGGGCACACGAAGCCAAUUCCCUCAACUGCUCAUUUGUGUUACAGUUCAUGCAACGGCACGUGCCGCGCGUCCAGUGUAAACGAGAACACCGUACGUGCCCUACCGUAACAUGAAUACAGAUGCGUAUGUAGCCGCUUCCGGGUAACAACCAAAUGCCACCCGCCAAGGCAUAAGCGGCAGAGGUGUGCCCAUACUAAAGUCUUGCCAAACACACAACGACAACCACAACGUCCGACCUACCUGCUGCACAGUGCUACCGCAGACUCUGCAUGCUGCCGGUGCCGGCACUCCAGUCCGUAGCUAGCCACAGAUGUGCAUGUAGCCACUUCCGCGGAACAACCAAACGCCACCCGCCAAGGCAUAAGCGGCAGAGGUGUGCCCAUACUAAGUCUUGCCAAACACACAACGACCUCAACCACAACGUCCGACCUGCUGCACAGUGCCACCGCAGACUCCGCAUGCUGCCGGUGCCAGCGCUCCAGUCCACAGCUAGCCACACCCGUGCUGCCCUUCGUAAGCCUGCAUAGUGUUCAGGACGAUUCGGUCAGGAACCAAACCACAAAACCAGGCAUAUCAGAGGGUAAGACGCAAGGUACCUUUCCCCCCAUGUUCAGUUGCAGACACGCUACUCAUGCAGUGCUUACUUCAGCAAUUGCGAAAUAAUAUCUGGACAUAGACUUGCCUGUUGGGGUUAACGUGUGAGUGCGCCACGUCUAGCCCACCCAGGGGUGGUCCGCACGGGUGGCCCUUCGUGCGGCCGGAGUCCUGAGGGAGGGCGGGAGGGUACCAGGACUGAGAACUGAGCAUGAACUGAUGACAGGCGUGUACGGUGCCAUUAUACAGACACCUUAGCAUGCGCAUGCUCUCAGCUGACAGCCUCGGGAGCUAGCAACCAAGUCGCGCGGAUGGCCGCACCCCCGCCUCACCUGCGCCACGCGUGAUGGCUCUGUAGCCUUUUGAAAUGCUUUUGUUGAGCCUGAACCUGAACGAAUUGAAGGUGGGCGAUAAAUAUUGCGCUCGGUCAACGACGUCACCACCCCUGCAACAACCCAGCGUUAUGGCCGCUGCAAGGCGCACCUGUGCGCCACAUAGCGUUACUAGUGGAGACUGGGCCUUAAAAGCAAACAUAGCAGGGCGAGGGCGUCCUCUGCCGAGUGGCAGAGAACUGUUUGCGGGUCUCUACAUACUGACACCUUGACGUGUCUGUAAUCUUUAGUAAUGUGUGAUAUGCAUAGAAGGAUACAGUAUAUAUAAAUUGAACUGGCAAAGAAGGAAGUGCCGCAAAGAGUUUGGAAGCAGUGCCCCAUGCAACACUUAAACUUGGUUGGCCGCAUACUUGAUACUUGCUUGUCUUGCCAUGUGCGGUGUUGAAAGGGGGAUUAAUAUGAACGCACACGGGGCCUUCUCUGCGCAAGCG